Molecule: ribosomal RNA, 411 nt
Filed under: Pinnularia borealis complex sp.
Lineage: Eukaryota; Bacillariophyta; Bacillariophyceae; Sellaphorales; Pinnulariaceae
Description: partial 28S ribosomal RNA
Rfam family: Eukaryotic large subunit ribosomal RNA
Source: RNAcentral
GCGACUGAACUGUCACUAGCUCAGCAUGUGAAUCAGCGUGCACUCUCGUGAGCGCUGAAUUGUGGUCUUUUGGUUCUUGCAUCAACACGUCCAGUCCAUGUUUUUUGGAAUAAAACAGCAAAGAGGGUGAAACUCCCGUGUGACUGGACCAACGAAGCAAGCACUACUGAGUCGAGUUGUUUGGGAUUGCAGCUCAAAUACGGUGGUAAAUUUCAUCUCAAGCUAAAUACUACAGGGAGACCGAUAGCGAACAAGUACCGUGAGGGAAAGAUGCAAAGAACUUUGAAAAGAGAGUGAAAGAGUACCUGAAAUUGCUGAAAAGGAAGCGAACGAACCUAGUGAAAGCAAUGUCAUACUUUCCAACUUGCUCGCAACUUGGACGCUGUGGCUUGCCAAGUUCCACUCCAUCGC